Molecule: RNA transcript, 2868 nt
Organism: Balaenoptera ricei (Rice's whale)
Lineage: Eukaryota; Metazoa; Chordata; Mammalia; Artiodactyla; Balaenopteridae
Gene: ZNF514
Gene name: zinc finger protein 514
Exons: 6
Source: RefSeq, a predicted model, not a curated record
CCUUUGUGGCUUUAGCGACUCCUGGCGCGCAGGCUUGCACUGGGCACCGCGCCCCGAGCCCGUGACACAGAGGGGAGUGUCCCUUCGUCUGCCCGCCUGCGAGGGGCUGAGGAGGCCUGGAGCUGGGCGCAGAGUUGCGGGGCCGGUCGUUUCCCUGUGAGGCUCUCCCCAGAAUCCCUGCUGCCUACGGGCAGUGGAGGAGCGGGCACGGAGGUCGCAGGUGCGGCUGUGGCCGUUUUUCCUGGUGCUCUGCGUGAGAGCUGGGUUCCAGAGCCUGGUCCCUAGGAGGAGAGCGGCGGAGCGGAGCCCGUGGGCGGAGGCCGGGCGCGUGAGGGGUGUGGGAGUGGGAGCGGGAGAAGAGCAUCGCCCCCGCAGCCAUGCUGCGCGCCGCUGGGAAGUGGACCCGGGUUUGACAGCCCUGCUCUGGGCGCUGCGGGUUGGCUGGGCGUGGCUGCCGGAGUGGGAAUGCCUGGUGUUACCCAGCUUGCUCCCCGCUCCCUGAACCCCGGGAGAACUGCAGGGACCCGGCCGAAGGACAGAGAUUUGGACCUAGUGAAAGGACAUCGCCCCUUAGCACGAGCUAUGGACUCCACAGCAUCAGUUCUCCCUUCUCAGGACCCUGCUCUUCCUCCAGAGAGAUGCCCAGGAGAAAAGGGAACAGCCAGCUUAUUCCUGAAAGCCAGGCCCCAGGACCUGAUGACAUUUGAGGAUGUGGCUGUGGAAUUCACCCGGUGGGAGUGGGGGCAGCUGGACCCUACUCAGAAGGACGUGUACCGGGAAGUGAUGCUGGAGAAUUUCAAGAACCUGGCCUCCCUGGGGUUUCCAAUGUCCAAACCGUAUGUCAUCUGCCGGUUGGAGGAAGGGGAAGAGCCCUGUAUUUUGGAGAGAGAAAUCUCAACAGGUGCCCCCGCAGACCACUGGCAAGAACUUAGACAUAGGACUAUGGCUGAUGGCAAGGGAGGCUGGAAAUGGAAGUCUUUGUCCUGGGCAGCAAUGGGGCCAAUGAAAAUUGGGGGAUUCUAUUACUAAGGAAGAAGAGAAGGAUGGAUAUUGACAAAUGACCAGGAAUCUGUGCCUGAAGACCCCAAUACUUCAAAGCCAUUUGGGAAUGAGAUCAUAUCCAUGAUCCUCUCUGGGUCUCAGUCUUCUCCUCUGUAAGAUGAAGGGCUUUGCACUUGUGGAAAUAAAUGAAGACUACCCAAAUGAGAAGAAACAGGCUGUUUAUUUAGAGCUUGCCAUAGCAAAGGAUCAGCCACUAUCACCUGCACCUGGCAGAGACCCAAAGGCAUGAAGGGAUUAAGAAAGCUUUACGAUGAGAAGAAAAAAAAUGAAAGCUUCAGAUGACAUGAUCUGAUAUGUAGAAAAUCCUAAGAAAUACACUAAAAACCUAUUGGAAUAAAUGAAUUCAGCAAAGUUUCUGGAUACAAUCAGAUCAAUAUACAAAAAUCAAUAUUUCCAUACAUGAUCCAUAAAAGGAAAAAACUGAUAAACUGGACUUCAUCAAAACUGAAACCUUAAAAAACAAACAAACAAACAAAAAAAAAAAAACAAAAAAAAACCCUGAAACCUUUUGCUUGGUGAAAGACCCUAUUAAGAGGAUGAAAAGACAGGCUACAGGCUGGGAGAAAAUAUUUGCAGACAACUUAUUUCAAAAUGUACUCCCAUCUAGAAUACACAAAGAACUCUCAAAACUCAAUAGUAAAAGAAACCAAACAAUCCAACUAGAGAGUGAGCAAACAUUUCACCAAAGAGGACAUACAGAUGGCAAACAAGCACGUGAAAAGACAUUCAAACAUCAUUACCUAUUAGGGAAAUGUAAAUUAAAACCAUGAUGAUUUAUCACUACACAACUAUUAGAACAGCUUAAAAAAGUGUUUUUUUUUUGUUUUUUUUAAAUUUACUUAUUUUUGGCUGUGUUGGGUCUUCGUUUCUGUGCGAGGGCUUUCUGUAGUUGCGGCAAGCGGGGGCCACUCUUCAUCGCGGUGCGCGGGCCUCUCACUAUCGCGGCCUCUCUUGUUGCGGAGCACAGGCUCCAGACGCGCAGGCUCAGUAGUUGUGGCUCACGGGCCCAGUUGCUCCACGGCAUGUGGGAUCUUCCCAGACCAGGGCUCGAACCCGUGUCCCCUGCAUUAGCAGGCAGAUUCUCAACCACUGCGCCACCAGGGAAGCCCCAAAAAGGUGUUUUUUAAGUGACAAUUCUAAAUGCUAGUGAGAAUCAGAGGAACUAGAUCUCUCACACAUUGCUGGUGGGAAUAUAAAAUGGUAUGGCCACUAUGAAAAAGAGUUUGGCCAUUCUUAAAAAACAAAACAUACAUUUACCAUUCAAUCUAGCAAUCUCACUGCUUGGCAUUCAUUCUAGAGAAAUGAAAGCUUAUGCCCACACAAAAACAUGUACAUGAUGGGUAUAUACCUCUAAGUAUUGAAAGCAGGGACCUGAAAAUCUAUUUGUACCCCAUGUUCAUAGCAGUAUCAUUCACAACAGCAAAAAGGUAGAAGCAACCUAACUGUCCAUUGGCAGAUGGAUAAACAAAAUACAGUAUAUACAUACAAUGGAAUAUUAUUCAGCCUUUAAAAAGAAAGGAAAUUCUGACACAUGCUACACAAGGAUGAACCUUGAGGACAUUAUGUUAAGUGAAAUAAGCCAAUUACAAAAGGACAAACAUUGUAUGAUUCUACUUAUAGGAGAUAGUUAAUCAAAUUCAUAGAGACAGAAAAUAGAAUGGUGGUUGCCAGAGACAGGAGAGAGAAAGGAAUGGGGAGUUUCUGUUUUGCAAGAUGAAAAGAGUUCUGGAGAUGGAUGGUAGUGAUGGUUGCACAACAAUGUGAAUGGACUCAGUGCUCUGAACUGUACACUUAAAAAUAGUUAAG